RNAcentral lists this ribosomal RNA (304 nucleotides) under uncultured Pseudomonas sp. Its description in RNAcentral is "bacterial SSU rRNA". It matches the Rfam family "Bacterial small subunit ribosomal RNA", at positions 1077 to 1382 of the family's 1533-position model. The record is from RNAcentral. Lineage: Bacteria; Pseudomonadati; Pseudomonadota; Gammaproteobacteria; Pseudomonadales; Pseudomonadaceae.
GGGUUAAGUCCCGUAACGAGCGCAACCCUUGUCCUUAGUUACCAGCACGUUAUGUGGGCACUCUAAGGAGACUGCCGGUGACAAACCGGAGGAAGGUGGGGAUGACGUCAAGUCAUCAUGGCCCUUACGGCCUGGGCUACACACGUGCUACAAUGGUCGGUACAAAGGGUUGCCAAGCCGCGAGGUGGAGCUAAUCCCAUAAACCGAUCGUAGUCCGGAUCGCAGUCUGCAACUCGACUGCGUGAAGUCGGAAUCGCUAGUAAUCGUGAAUCAGAAUGUCACGGUGAGUACGUUCCCGGGCCUU